GAAUUUUAUAAAAUUAUUUUAAAAUCAUUAAAAUAAUUUUAUUUAAUUGGGAGGAUUUUUAAAUUUAAAUAACUUUAAAAUUUAUUAAACAUUAAUUUAUGAUAUUUAUAAAUAAAUAAAUAUUAUUUAAAUAAAAAUUAAUUACCUUAGGGAUAACAGCAUAAAAUUUUUUUGUAGAUCUUAUAUAUAAAAAUAUUUGU
This 200-nucleotide ribosomal RNA is filed under the name Odontomachus haematodus. RNAcentral describes it as "partial large subunit ribosomal RNA". Lineage: Eukaryota; Metazoa; Arthropoda; Insecta; Hymenoptera; Formicidae. The record is from RNAcentral.